CAGUAGCCGCGGUAACACGUAGGUGGCAAGCGUUGUCCGGAAUUAUUGGGCGUAAAGCGCGCGCAGGUGGUUUAAUAAGUCUGAUGUGAAAGCCCACGGCUCAACCGUGGAGGGUCAUUGGAAACUGUUAAACUUGAGUGCAGGAGAGAAAAGUGGAAUUCCUAGUGUAGCGGUGAAAUGCGUAGAGAUUAGGAGGAACACCAGUGGCGAAGGCGGCUUUUUGGCCUGUAACUGACACUGAGGCGCGAAAGCGUGGGGAGCAAACAGGAUUAGAUACCCGCGUAGUCCCUGUCUCUUAUAC
RNAcentral lists this ribosomal RNA (301 nucleotides) under uncultured bacterium. RNAcentral describes it as "partial 16S ribosomal RNA". It matches the Rfam family "Bacterial small subunit ribosomal RNA", at positions 509 to 807 of the family's 1533-position model. The record is from RNAcentral.